GAUGAAGAACGCAGCGAAAUGCGAUACGUAAUGUGAAUUGCAGAAUUCAGUGAAUCAUCGAGUCUUUGAACGCACAUUGCGCCCCCUGGUAUUCCGGGGGGCAUGCCUGUCCGAGCGUCAUUGCUGCCCUCAAGCCCGGCUUGUGUGUUGGGCCUCCGUCCUCCUCCCGGGGGACGGGCCCGAAAGGCAGCGGCGGCACCGCGUCCGGUCCUCGAGCGUAUGGGGCUUCGUCACCCGCUCUUGUAGGCCCGGCCGGCGCUUGCCGACACAUCAAUCUUUUUUCCAGGUUGACCUCGGAUCAGGUAGGGAUACCCGCUGAACUUAAGCAUAUCAAUAAGCGGAGGA
Molecule: unclassified non-coding RNA, 345 nt
Filed under: soil metagenome
Description: partial contains 5.8S ribosomal RNA, internal transcribed spacer 2, and large subunit ribosomal RNA
Rfam family: 5.8S ribosomal RNA (bases 1-120)
Source: RNAcentral